UACAGAGGUCUCAAGCGUUGUUCGGAUUCAUUGGGCGUAAAGGGUGCGUAGGUGGCGCUGUAAGUCAGGUGUGAAAUUUCGGAGCUUAACUCCGAAACUGCAUUUGAUACUGCGGUGCUUGAGGACUGGAGAGGAGACUGGAAUUUACGGUGUAGCAGUGAAAUGCGUAGAGAUCGUAAGGAAGACCAGUGGCGAAGGCGGGUCGUCUGGACAGUUCCUGACACUGAGGCACGAAGGCCAGGGGAGCAAACGGG
RNAcentral lists this ribosomal RNA (254 nucleotides) under uncultured bacterium. Its description in RNAcentral is "partial 16S ribosomal RNA". It matches the Rfam family "Bacterial small subunit ribosomal RNA", at positions 524 to 776 of the family's 1533-position model. The record is from RNAcentral.